Molecule: long non-coding RNA, 399 nt
Organism: Danaus plexippus (monarch butterfly)
Lineage: Eukaryota; Metazoa; Arthropoda; Insecta; Lepidoptera; Nymphalidae
Exons: 3
Source: RefSeq, a predicted model, not a curated record
GUGGACGUAAUCGUGUUCAGACAAUAAAACAGCAACGUGUUCUUUGUACAGGAUUACAAACAGGCGUUUCCAUGAAGCGAGUAUGGCGCAGCGUGACUCGUCACUGUCUGAUUGUUUGGGUAUUUGUGUAUUAUCAUGUUGAAUCAAUAUGGUCACCACAGCUCAUGAAAACAAAAUAAUUGCAAGGGCUUCCCAGGACAUCCGCCAGCUUUCGUUUGGUUACAUACGACCACAACCUUCCAAACAGAUAACGUCGUAUGCCAAAAGCUUGUUGUUAUUUAAUAUAAUAAUGUGGUCGACACGAUGUAAACCUUCCGUCGAGCUCAUAUAAAUUCAACUCGAUAAUUUUUAUUCAUUGAGAUUCAUCCAAAGACACUAAACAACAUUUGUAUUGACCGA